AGCGGUAAGGCCCUUUCGGGGGUACACGAGCGGCGAACGGGUGAGUAACACGUGAGUAAUCUGCCCUUCACUUCGGGAUAAGCCUCGGAAACGGGGUCUAAUACCGGAUACGACACUUUUACGCAUGUAAUGGGUGUGGAAAGUUUUUUCGGUGGGGGAUGUGCUCGCGGCCUAUCAGCUUGUUGGUGGGGUAAUGGCCUACCAAGGCUUCGACGGGUAGCCGGCCUGAGAGGGUGACCGGCCACACUGGGACUGAGACACGGCCCAGACUCCUACGGGAGGCAGCAGUGGGGAAUAUUGGACAAUGGGCGGAAGCCUGAUCCAGCAACGCCGCGUGAGGGAUGACGGCCUUCGGGUUGUAAACCUCUUUCAGCGGGGACGAAGCGCAAGUGACGGUACCCGCAGAAGAAGCACCGGCCAACUACGUGCCAGCAGCCGCGGUAAUACGUAGGGUGCGAGCGUUGUCCGGAAUUAUUGGGCGUAAAGGGCUCGUAGGCGGUUUGUCGCGUCGGGAGUGAAAACGCCGGGCUUAACUCGGUGCUUGCUUUCGAUACGGGCAGACUAGAGGCAUGCAGGGGAGAACGGAAUUCCUGGUGUAGCGGUGAAAUGCGCAGAUAUCAGGAGGAACACCGGUGGCGAAGGCGGUUCUCUGGGCAUGUCCUGACGCUGAGGAGCGAAAGUGUGGGGAGCGAACAGG
Molecule: ribosomal RNA, 697 nt
Filed under: uncultured Actinomycetes bacterium
Lineage: Bacteria; Bacillati; Actinomycetota; Actinomycetes
Description: bacterial SSU rRNA
Rfam family: Bacterial small subunit ribosomal RNA
Source: RNAcentral